CCCUUAGAUGUUCUGGGCCGCACGCGCGCUACACUGAUGCAUUCAACGAGUUUCUUCCUGGUCCGAGAGGAAUGGGUAACCUUUUGAAAGUGCAUCGUGAUAGGGAUAGACUAUUGCAAUUAUUGGUCUUCAACGAGGAAUUCCUAGUAGACGUAGUUCAUCAGACUGCAUCGAUUACGUCCCUGCCCUUUGUACACACCGCCCGUCGCUAGUACCGAUUGAAUGGCUUAGUGAGGCUUCAGGAUUUGCUUAGAUCGAGGGGCAACUCUCUUUCAGAGCGGAGAAUCUAGUCAAACUUGGUCAUUUAGAGGAACUAAAAGUCGUAACA
Molecule: ribosomal RNA, 328 nt
Filed under: uncultured eukaryote
Lineage: Eukaryota
Description: partial 18S ribosomal RNA
Rfam family: Eukaryotic small subunit ribosomal RNA
Source: RNAcentral